This is an RNA transcript of Canis lupus familiaris (dog), 2632 nucleotides long. It is a transcript of the gene named hedgehog acyltransferase, with no coding region annotated. The transcript is spliced from 13 exons. The record is from RefSeq and is a predicted model, not a curated record. Lineage: Eukaryota; Metazoa; Chordata; Mammalia; Carnivora; Canidae.
UCCGAGCACGCGCGCGGGGGCCGGUCCUGCAACCGCCGCUCCCGGGAACAGGGCGGCCCCUCCCGGGAAGCGGGUCGCCGCCGCCGCCUGGACUCGGAAGCGCUGAGCGGGUUGUUGGGGACUCGUGGCCCGUCCCGGGACCGCCCGGAGAAACUCUCCGUGUGUCUGCUUGGACCCUUUGUCACAAGGAACAAUGCUGCCCUGGUGGGAACUGUCUUUUUACCUGUGUGCUUCACUAGGCUUCCACUUCUAUUCUUUCUAUGAAGUUUACAAAGCUUCCAGAGAACAUGAAGAGGAGCUGGACCGACAGUUUGACCUGGAGAUUGGCACUUUAUUUGGAGGAUUAAAGAAGGACCCAAAUGACUUCGAAUGGAGCUUCUGGAUGGAAUGGGGAAAACAGCGGCUGGUGCGGUUUCUGUUUGGCCACAUGGUUGUGUCUCAGAUGGCCAAUGUGCUUGCAAGAAAGCACAGACCCUGGAUCCUGGGGGCUUAUGGAAUGUGGGCCUCCUGGUGUGUGCUGGGGGCCCACGGCACAGCCAUUAUUUUUCUCCACACCCUCAUCUCCUUCUGUGUAGCCCAGCUCCGGUCACUGGCCCUCACAUGGCUCUGUUCUCUCUUCCUGCUCUCCACACUGAGGCUGCAAGAUGUGGAGGAAGUUAAGAGAGGGUGGUACCAGACAGAAAAUGAGUACUACCUACUGCAGUUCACGUUGACCGUGCGUUGCCUGUACUACACCAGCUUCAGCCUUGAGUUCUGCUGGCAGCAGAUGCCGAACGGGCACAGCUUCUACUCCUUUCCCUGGCUGGUGGCCUAUGUCUUCUAUUACCCCGUCUUCCACAACGGGCCUAUCCUCAGCUUCCCGGAGUUCAUCGCAAAGGUGCAGCAGCAAGAGUACUGCUCGCUGAAGUCCAACCUUUCCGCCUUUGCCGUGGGGCUGGGUCGCCUCCUCUGCUAUUGGUGGUUGGCAGAGCUGAUGGUUCACCUCAUGUACAUGCACGCCAUCUACAGCAGUGCCUCUCUCCUGAAGGCUGUCUCUUGUUGGACCUUAGGAGGACUGGCAUUGGCCCACGUGCUCUUUUUCUACCUGAAGUACUUGGUGCUCUUUGGUGUCCCAGCUCUGCUCAUGCGCCUGGAUGGACUCACGCCGCCACCCCUCCCUCGCUGUGUGAGCACCAUGUUCAGUUUCACAGGCAUGUGGAGGUAUUUUGAUGUUGGACUGCAUGAUUUCUUAAUCAGUGACAGUUUUCAUUUGAAAGAGUAUUUUGUGAAGAAUCAGAACUAUGGUCUGCAGAAGGUAUGUGUACAUUCCGGUAGGCGGGUCCCAGCAUGGCCUGCUGGGGACACUGUUUUCCACCGCUGUGACGUUUGCAUUUGUGAGCUUCUGGCAUGGUGGCUAUGACUACCUCUGGUGCUGGGCAGCACUCAACUGGCUGGGAGUCACCGUGGAGAAUGUAGUCCAGAGGCUUGUGCGAACCCCGUGCAUCCAGGACAGCGUGAUUCAGUUCCUCUCCCCACAAGCCCGCCGUCGAUUCCACGCUGCCCUCGCAUCUUGUUCCACCUCCAUGCUGAUCUUGUCCAACCUGGUGUUUCUCGGGGGCAGUCAAGUUGGGAAAAUCUACUGGAACAGGAUCUUCAUACAAGGCUGGCCAUAUGUGACCCUCUCUGUCCUGGGAUUCCUGUACUGCUACUCCCAUGUGGGCAUUGCCUGGUCCCAGACAUACUCAGUGGAUUAAUGCUGCCCAGCCCAUGGCAGCCCUUCCUGCUGGCCUUCAAGGCAAAUGGUGCUUCACCCUGACCUCGCAUACCAAGAUAACCUCCAAGGAACCACUGUUUGAUCUGCUCAUCUUUUAUUGAAGUUACCUCACUCCAAGAGUGGGAGCUUGAGCUCUCAUAGAAAAUUGACAACCAGAGAGUCUUCUAACUUUGGGAACCCAGAGUUCAUCCCCCUCAGCCCUGUCAUUCUCCUGUUGAGUAUCUUACCCAGCUGCACAUGAUGACUGUGUGGUCUAGAACCCAGUCCUAAAGGCCCUUGGGGUUUCUUCCACUUUACCAAGAAUUAAAUACAAUAGACAUUUCUCAAUUGGAGUGCAGAAGUCUUGAUUAGUGAUAAGGCCUGUCCUCCACUGGGCGUAUUUCUGAAACAUUUUGGUAACAUUUAAGUGACCUCUUCCCUAUGUCCUACAAUGUGGUCUCUAGAACCAGCACUGGGGUCUAAGCUUCACACUUUAGCUCCCCAACAGGGAAGGGACAAAGCCACAGUCCAGUUUCUCAUUACCCAGUUAAAGAAGAUCCAACAUAUCCUAUAGUGUUCCAAGGGGUCAGUGGCUAAGGAGAUCUGUUACUGGAACACGACCGUGGUGAUCCACAUUUGGAUGCUCGUUCCCUAGAUUUGCCGAGAAGUAUAAACACGCCAGUUCCUCUGCCAGCCAGUUAAUCGUCAUUUCCCAAUAAAGAAGCAGAAUUAAGGAACCAGGGCAUAGCACAUCCACAGACAGGUGUUAUCAAGGAUGGUUUCCUGCGGUCUUUUUUCCUUUCCAUUGAAAUAAGUCCCAGCAGCUGACUUCCUGCUCAGUGAUUUACACUCAGUGGUUUACAUUGUUUUGUUUCAAAUAAAAUGGAGCCUUUUCUGUCA